RNAcentral lists this transfer RNA (85 nucleotides) under Minisyncoccota bacterium. RNAcentral describes it as "tRNA-Ser". It matches the Rfam family "tRNA". From Rfam's summary of the family: Transfer RNA (tRNA) molecules are approximately 80 nucleotides in length. Their secondary structure includes four short double-helical elements and three loops (D, anti-codon, and T loops). Lineage: Bacteria; Bacillati; Minisyncoccota. The record is from RNAcentral.
GGAGAGGUGCAAGAGUGGUUUAAUUGGCAGUCCUGGAAAGACUGUGUGUCGAAAGGCACCGAGGGUUCGAAUCCCUCCCUCUCCG